GUUGAGGUGAAUGUUGUCUGAUUCGAAAUCAUUCAACAAAUUAUAAUCAAUGAUGAAUUAUUUAAUUGAAUGAUUUCGGACCAGGCUUCAUUCCCCUCAAC
RNAcentral lists this microRNA precursor (101 nucleotides) under Capsicum annuum. Its description in RNAcentral is "mir-166 microRNA precursor family". It matches the Rfam family "mir-166 microRNA precursor family". From Rfam's summary of the family: This family represents the plant microRNA (miRNA) precursor mir-166. Animal miRNAs are transcribed as ~70nt precursors and subsequently processed by the Dicer enzyme to give a ~22nt product. Lineage: Eukaryota; Viridiplantae; Streptophyta; Magnoliopsida; Solanales; Solanaceae. The record is from Rfam by way of RNAcentral.